Molecule: ribosomal RNA, 253 nt
Filed under: uncultured bacterium
Lineage: Bacteria
Description: partial 16S ribosomal RNA
Rfam family: Bacterial small subunit ribosomal RNA
Source: RNAcentral
GACGAGCCACACGAACGUUAUUCGGAAUUACUGGGCUUAAAGGGCGCGUAGGCGGCUUCCCAAGUCCGGGGUGAAAUCUUUCGGCUUAACCGGAAAAGUGCCUUGGAUACUGGGAGGCUCGAGGGAGGUAGGGGCAAGCGGAACUUCCGGUGGAGCGGUGAAAUGCGUUGAUAUCGGAAGGAACGCCGGCGGCGAAAGCGGCUUGCUGGACCUCAUCUGACGCUGAUGCGCGAAAGCUAGGGGAGCGAACGGG